RNAcentral lists this non-coding RNA (297 nucleotides) under Clostridium saccharobutylicum. Its description in RNAcentral is "T-box sequence". It matches the Rfam family "T-box leader". Rfam says of the family: Uncharged tRNA acts as the effector for transcription antitermination of genes in the T-box leader family. T-boxes are found upstream of many aminoacyl-tRNA synthetase genes and some amino acid biosynthetic genes usually in Gram-positive bacteria. The record is from RNAcentral. Lineage: Bacteria; Bacillati; Bacillota; Clostridia; Eubacteriales; Clostridiaceae.
AUAAAAGCAAUGACAAAGAGGAGUAAAAAUUUUUAGGCAUUAAAGGAUACUCAUUCAGGAAAUCUGAGGAGUACAGUUCUUUUAGGUAAAUCAUAGAUUUAGAAAGAACCAAUAAGAGAGAGGGGAUAGCUGAAAACCCUUAUGCAGGAAAUUUUGAAGGUAGCUUUUGAGCUUCUUUAGUGAAAUAGUAGUAGCUAAAGACGGUUUAUCUGAAUCGUUAUUUAAAUUAAGAGUCCAUUAGAGCAUAUUAUUGUUUGCGUGGAAAUAAAGGUGGUACCGCGAGUCUUCGUCCUUUUG